This is a long non-coding RNA of Lagopus leucura (white-tailed ptarmigan), 269 nucleotides long. RefSeq lists it as uncharacterized. Lineage: Eukaryota; Metazoa; Chordata; Aves; Galliformes; Phasianidae. The transcript is spliced from 3 exons. The record is from RefSeq and is a predicted model, not a curated record.
AAAGGAGCAAUUCUCCAGUUCAAGCAGUCUGGCUGCAGGUUUUAAUUUCCCUUCCAAAGUGUCCAGGUUGAUCCUCAGGGACUGUGUAAGAGGAGACAGUGUUUCUCAAUGGUCAGGAUCCACAGGCUGCAGCCAGGGUAGCCAAAGCCUCCACAAGUUCCUGUGGACACAGGACACCAUGAGGUUACUGCCUCAGCAGGUUUAAUCUCCCAUACUCUCCAGGAGCAGAAGAGCUGUAGCACUGCUCCAUCACCAUGCCUGGUCCAAAG